Molecule: unclassified non-coding RNA, 318 nt
Filed under: Psychrobacter pacificensis
Lineage: Bacteria; Pseudomonadati; Pseudomonadota; Gammaproteobacteria; Moraxellales; Moraxellaceae
Description: Long range pseudoknot
Source: RNAcentral
ACCGAAGAAGCCGAUUAUCAGGUUAAAUUGAAAAAAAUUAUCAGCUUCUUGGAAAAUCAAGACAAAGUUAAAAUUAGCAUCCGUUUCCGCGGACGUGAAAUGGCGCACCAAGAUAUUGGUCGUAAACAACUUGAUCGUAUCAUUGAAGAUACUGCUGAUAUCUCAAACGUCGAACAAUAUCCUAAGAUGGAAGGUCGUCAAAUGGGUAUGUUGCUUGGACCUACAAAGAAAAAGUAGUCUUUUAUGAGAUUGCUUUAAGAAUUGGCUGUCAGUCCAUAUAGUUAUUUAUAACUCUAACCAUCAAUAUGCUACGGGAUA